RNAcentral lists this long non-coding RNA (556 nucleotides) under Capsicum annuum. Its description in RNAcentral is "long non-coding RNA (CANN_LNC008189)". Lineage: Eukaryota; Viridiplantae; Streptophyta; Magnoliopsida; Solanales; Solanaceae. The record is from RNAcentral.
AAGUCACUAAUUUACUUCACAAGUUACCAAACUAAACUUAAUUCAAAAUGAAAAGUUCACAUUUCAAGUACCUACUCUUAAACAUUUUCAAGUCACUAAUUCACUUUUCAAGUGACAACACUUUACUAAAUUCAAAACAAAAAUUCACAUUUCAAGUAUCUACAUUUAAACAUUUUCAAGUCACUAAGUCAUUUCUCAAGUGACCACACUUUACUAAAAUCAAAAUACAAGUUCACAUUUCAAGUACCUAAAUUCAAAACAAAAGUCACUAAUUCAUAAUUCAAGUAAGUACACUUAAACAUGUCAAGUCACUAAUUCACUUCACAAGUUACCAACCUUUACUAAAUUCUACAUAAAAGUUCACAUUUCAAGUACCUACACCUAAACAUUUUCAAGUCACUAAGUCACUUCACAAGUUACCAAACUAAACUAAAUUCAAAAUGAAAAGUUCACAUUUCAAGUACCUACACCUAAACAUUUUCAAGUCACUAAGUCACUUCACAAGUUACCAAACUAAACUAAAUUCAAAAUAAAAAGUUCACAUUUCAAGUACCUA